This 107-nucleotide small RNA is filed under the name Marmota monax (woodchuck). Lineage: Eukaryota; Metazoa; Chordata; Mammalia; Rodentia; Sciuridae. The record is from RNAcentral.
GCUGAGUAUGGUAGUGCACACCUGUAAUCCCAGUGACUUGGGAGGCUGAGGCAGGAGGAUUGAAAGUUUGGGGCCAGCCUCAGCAAUUUAGCAAAAUCUUGUCUCAA